GAUGAACGCUGGCGGCGCGCUUAACACAUGCAAGUCGAACGGAAAGGCCAGUGCUUGCACUGGUACUCGAGUGGCGAACGGGUGAGUAACACGUGGGUGAUCUGCCCUGCACUUCGGGAUAAGCCUGGGAAACUGGGUCUAAUACCGGAUAGGACAAUGGUUUGGAUGCCGUUGUGGAAAGUUUUUUCGGUGUGGGAAUGAGCUCGCGGCCUAUCAGCUUGUUGGUGGGGUAAUGGCCUACCAAGGCGUCGACGGGUAGCCGGCCUGAGAGGGUGUACGGCCACAUUGGGACUGAGAUACGGCCCAGACUCCUACGGGAGGCAGCAGUGGGGAAUAUUGCACAAUGGGCGCAAGCCUGAUGCAGCGACGCCGCGUGGGGGAUGACGGCCUUCGGGUUGUAAACUCCUUUCGCUAGGGACGAAGCGUAUUUGUGACGGUACCUGGAGAAGAAGCACCGGCUAACUACGUG
Molecule: ribosomal RNA, 469 nt
Filed under: uncultured bacterium
Lineage: Bacteria
Description: partial 16S ribosomal RNA
Rfam family: Bacterial small subunit ribosomal RNA
Source: RNAcentral